CUUUUCAGGACAAACGGGGGUCUAUAGCAAUAUAGCCCUUGCCUGCAUCCGUGUUUUUUGCGUACUUAUUGUUUCCUCGGUGGGCUUGCCUGCCGGCUGGACAACUUAAACUCUUUUGUAAUUGCAGUCAGCGUCUGAAUAACUUAAUAGUUA
RNAcentral lists this unclassified non-coding RNA (153 nucleotides) under uncultured fungus. Its description in RNAcentral is "sequence contains ITS1, 5.8S rRNA gene". The record is from RNAcentral. Lineage: Eukaryota; Fungi.